Long non-coding RNA from Pyrus x bretschneideri (Chinese white pear), 1956 nucleotides. RefSeq lists it as uncharacterized. Lineage: Eukaryota; Viridiplantae; Streptophyta; Magnoliopsida; Rosales; Rosaceae. The transcript is spliced from 2 exons. The record is from RefSeq and is a predicted model, not a curated record.
GGUGCAGCCCCGCCCUAAUUUUAGGCAAGGCGUUUGGAAAAAUCGGUUGGAAGCUAGGCAGCUAGGUGGAGCUAGGAGGCUAGGUGGUCUUUUUAUUUUUUUUAUUUUUUUAACAUUUAAAUUCUAAAUUAAAACUUAAAUAAAUUAACUUCAGGUUCCCGUGUCGACGAGCUCAUCCCCUAUUAACCUAAUUUUCUAAAGAUUCGAAGUUUUUGCAAUUCUGUACAAUUCCAUCUCAUCUUCAUUGGCUGUCUCGCGUCUCGAAUCCUUUGUUGGGCAUCGUCUCUCGACUUCUUUACUAGGCAAAUCAUCUUGCCUUUCCUGAUUUCCACAAUCUCCACCUAUCCUAUCACCAGAUUUCCACGGUCCACCUCUCUCAUUUGAGUCAGUUCCACGCUCUCCAUGGCUUGCAGUUGCAGAUGGCGGGCACUGUAUCAUCCGGAGCAUCUAAUCCAAUGUUAUCCACCCAAUCAGAUAAUCUAUUAAAGUGUGCUUCAGAUGAUGUGGGAUGGGAGUAUGGGGUGUUAGUGGAUCCUUCAAACUCGGAUAAGGUGCAAUGUAAGUUUUGUAAAAAAAUACUCAGUGGUGGCAUUUUAGAAUGAAAUAAAACAUAGCCCAUGUCAAGGGAAAUGUAGCUAGAUAAACAAAGUAUUCGGAUGAAGAUAAAGCAAAAUGUAAAGCUGCAUUAGAAGAAACAAAAAAGAAGAAGAAAGAAAGAAACAAUCACUAUGAGGAAGUGAGGGAAAAGGUUCAACUUCCACAUACUGAAGAAAAUGAAGAUAUUGAAGUUGUUGGGUCAAGGAAAAGGUCGCGAACUCUUGGGCCUAUUGAUAGGUUUGCAUCCUCCAUCAAUCUUGGUCCUUCAAAAUCAAAUGAUGGAAGUAAGAGUAAGCGAUAACAAAAUCUCCAUGAUGCAAUUUGAAAAGAUUUCAGGUGGAUCAAUAUCUGGCUCGAUAAGUCUACGAAGCCGAUAUUCCUUUUCAUGCCAUUGAUAACGACAACUUCAAAAGCUUUGUGGAAGUGGUUGGUCAAUUUGGCAUGGGUUACCAACCUUUAAGUCAAUAUGAUUUAAGGGAGCCUUUAUUGAAAGAAGAGGUGAAGGGGGUAAAACAAUUUCUUAAGAAGUAUGAAGAAGAAUGUGCUUUGAAUGGUUGCUCAAUUAUGAUCGAUGCUUGAAGAGAUUGAAAAAGAAGAAGUAUAAUGAAUUUGUGUGUGAAUUGCAAACAAGGCACAAUAUUUCUCUCUUCCAAGAAAUAGUCUAAUGAAGCACACACCAGGGAAUACAUCUUUGAAUAUGUUAACAAGUGUAUCGAAGAAGUUGGUUCACAAAAUGUAGUUCAAGUGGUAAUUGACAAUUCUUCUAACAAUAUGAUGGAAAAGAGGCCAUACAUGUUUUGGACAUCAUGUGCCACUCACACGUUGAACCUCAUGCUUCAAUGAAUUGGUAACCUACCUAGGUUCAAAUGAGUCAUUGAAAAGGCAAAGACUUUUACUAUCUUUAUUUAUGCUCAUCAUAAAACAUUAGCAUUGAUGAGAAAGUAUACAAAGAAAAGAGACAUAGUGAGGCUUGAAGUCACAAGAUUUCCAGCUGCUUUCCCAACUUUGCAAAGCUUGGUUGAUAAGAAAAAAAGACUCGAGGAUUAUGGUUGCUAGUGAUGAAUGGGAACAAUGCAAACAUUCCAAGAGUAUAAAAGGGAAAACGGCAUAUGCUACCAUGGUGAGUGCAUAUUUUUGGAAUAGGGUCUCACUUUGUUUGAGAGUGUUUGAACUGUUGUUUAAGGUUCUUCAACUUGUGGAUGGGGAUAAAAAGCCAUGAAUGGGGAUUUUUGUACGAGGAGCUACAAAAAUCGAGGAAUGAGAUCAAAGAGGCAUUGAAAAAUAAUGAGGCCGAUUAUAGACCAAUCAUACAAUUUAGGGAGUUUUAACGAAAAGCUCGCGGUACUGUUCACUUUUAUG